Long non-coding RNA from Alosa alosa (allis shad), 1746 nucleotides. RefSeq lists it as uncharacterized. The record is from RefSeq and is a predicted model, not a curated record. The transcript is spliced from 3 exons. Lineage: Eukaryota; Metazoa; Chordata; Actinopteri; Clupeiformes; Clupeidae.
GUUUGAAAAUUCAGACACAACUUUCUUUAGUUUGAUUAUGGGCAUGAAUGGAUAAUUGGGAAUACAGAUUUCACUUAUCUUUAAAUAAAGCUUAUUAUCUGCCUGUUAUUCCAUUCCAACACUUAUAGAUGCUUUUGUAUUUCCAUCUGCAGCCUGCAGGAGUAUCGGCAAGGACUGCAACAGGGGGAUUCACAGCCAACGAUUGAUGCAUUUCAGCAACAACCAUUACAAGUUCAAGUUUAUAAUGCUAGUUCAUCAAGGCAGCAGGCUAUCCACCAAAUGAUCAUCCAUGACCUUAUCAUUGGCUGCUGUCUACCUAUAUCAAUCGUGGAAAAUGAACAUUUCUGAAAUUUUCUACGCACCAUGGAUGAAAGGUACACCCCAAUCUCCAGAACAACGAUAACCAGCAAAGAGAUACCUCAACUAGUGAUGAGAGUGAAAGGGUGCAUCAAGUCCAGUCUAGUAGAUCAGAAAUCAAUCUCUAUAACUGCUGAUAUAUGGUCAGACCGCACAAUGAGAUCUUAACUUGGAGUUACAGCUCAUGUUCUCAACUCUUCAGCCAGUGGGUACACUCUGAAGUCCUACCUGCUUGACUGCAGGAGAUUCAAAGGGCGUCACAGCUCUGAAAACAUUUCAGCUGCAUUUGAUGAAAUACUUGAGGAAUACAAUAUCAGUGAUAAGGUAGAUUUUAUCAUCACUGAUAAUGCAGCUAACAUGAAGAAGGCUUUUAACGUCAUUAUGGCAGACCACUCAGAUGAUAGUGAGGAUGACAGUGAGCAGGAGGAGGACAUGGUUGGGGAACAGCUAGAUACAGACAUUGUCCUUGGUUCCCGUCAACGGCUAUCCUGCUUUGCCCACAGUCUUCAACUGGUUAUUGGGGAUGGGAUGAAAGAAGUAAAAGUGAUGUCUCGGGCACUCUCAAAAAUAGCCAAACGUGCCAGUCUUCUGCAUAGUAGCACUGUCUUUAAGGAUCGGUUUGAGGCUGUUUUUGGAAGUGGUAAAAGCAUUCCAGUCUCAAAUGUCACAAGGUGGAAUUCGCAGUUCAGACAAAUACAAGCAGUCAUCGAAUUAGAUCAUACUGCACUAACUCAGAUGUGCUCAGUGGACUUUGCAAAUGUUGUCCUCAGCUCACGUGAAUGGGCCCAGUGUAGAGAACUUACACUAAUUCUUGAACCGUUUGCUGAGGCCACUGAAUUGACAGAGGGUGACAAAAUUGUUACCAUCAGCAUGGUUGUCCCUACUGUCCUCGAGCUACAUUCUCACUUAUCAGAUAUGGAUAGUGAAAAGAGACUAUGUAGGCCACUGACCAGGGCCCUCAGAGCCUCACUUAAAAGAGAGGAAAGAUUUGCCAUUUGGCCAUGAUAUAUAUAUGCAGGGAGCGAUGCUGGACCCUCAGUUCGGGUUGAACUGGGUCGAGUUGGAUGUCAGGACCAGUGGCAGUGCUACCACCAUACAACGUACAAAGAAGGAACUGCAGAAGUCACUAACAGACAGCUUGAUCGCUCAGGCUAAGAAAGUGGACCUGGACAUCUGUGAGGAACUCACAGAACCAACCCAGGAUUCUCCCCCAAACGCCAAGAUUCCACGGCUCCUGGCAAAAUAUAAAACUCACAAAAAGAACAAUUCCACCCAUGGAUAUCAUCCAAGUGUCAACAGUGAGGUGUCCCCAACCAUGGCAACCUUGACAGGAACUACAAGGAGGCGGACAUUGUGCAGACAUUUUCCCAUCAACAGACCCCAACUAAG